Molecule: ribosomal RNA, 504 nt
Filed under: Triticum aestivum (bread wheat)
Lineage: Eukaryota; Viridiplantae; Streptophyta; Magnoliopsida; Poales; Poaceae
Description: partial small subunit ribosomal RNA
Source: RNAcentral
AUGAGGAGGGUCAUGUUGCAGAUUCAGAAGAUGGUUUCGACAAUUCGUCCACUGAAACUUUGGGACAGGUGUACUCUAACACCAGAUAGUGUAGCUUCAGAAAAUAUUGCUUCAGCAGACAGGCUCAAAGGCAAGAGGAGAAUAAUAGGUGUUAUCACAAUUGAAAAUGAUGAAAUUCCUCCCAUCCCCCUAGUUAAUGUGGUCCCAUCAUCUGUGGCUGCUCGCACUAUGGACUCCCAGAAACCUUAUCCUGAAGUAAAGAAUGUGGUGAAGGACUUAUCUUCAUGCAUGAAAGAGGUUGAGAUAUUAUUCUUUAGGGCAUGUGAUUCUGGGAAACAAGUUCCAAUGAUUCUGGAAGAAGAUAAAAUCCAGUUCCGCCCUCUACUACCUGAAGAAAUAGCACAAGGAUCAAAGGUAUCAAAUUUUCUUGCGACCUUCCUUGUUUGCUGCAGGGAGGAAGUUUCUGUUCCUAAACGCCAGCAGCUCCAUCUGCAGGAAGUAUGA